Molecule: ribosomal RNA, 83 nt
Filed under: Pseudomonas aeruginosa
Lineage: Bacteria; Pseudomonadati; Pseudomonadota; Gammaproteobacteria; Pseudomonadales; Pseudomonadaceae
Description: partial 23S ribosomal RNA
Source: RNAcentral
UAGGCUGGGUGUGUAAGCGUUGUGAGGCGUUGAGCUAACCAGUACUAAUUGCCCGUGAGGCUUGACCAUAUAACACCCAAACA